RNAcentral lists this ribosomal RNA (367 nucleotides) under uncultured organism. Its description in RNAcentral is "bacterial SSU rRNA". It matches the Rfam family "Bacterial small subunit ribosomal RNA", at positions 526 to 896 of the family's 1533-position model. The record is from RNAcentral.
CGGAGGGUGCAAGCGUUAUCCGGAUUCACUGGGUUAAAGGGUGCGUAGGUGGGGUGGUAAGUCAGUGGUGAAAUCUCCGAGCUUAACUUGGAAACUGCCAUUGAUACUAUCAUUCUUGAAUAUUGUGGAGGUCAGCGGAAUAUGUCAUGUAGCGGUGAAAUGCUUAGAUAUGACAUAGAACACCAAUUGCGAAGGCAGCUGGCUACACAUAUAUUGACACUGAGGCACGAAAGCGUGGGGAUCAAACAGGAUUAGAUACCCUGGUAGUCCACGCCCUAAACUAUGGAUACUCGACAUACGCGAUACACUGUGUGUGUCUGAGCGAAAGCAUUAAGUAUCCCACCUGGGAAGUACGAUCGCAAGAUUG